GGGGCCCGCACAAGCGGAGGAACAUGUGGUUUAAUUCGAUGAUACGCGAGGACCUUACCCGGGCUCAAUCGACACAGGAAUACUUUUGAAAGGAGGUAGCUCUUCGGAGCCUGUGUCGAGGUGCUGCAUGGUUGUCGUCAGCUCGUGCCGUGAGGUGUCGGCUUAAGUGCCAUAACGAGCGCAACCCCCAUCGCCAGUUACCAGCAAGUCAAGUUGGGGACUCUGGCGAGACUGCCGGCGCAAGCUGUGAGGAAGGCGGGGAUGACGUCAAAUCAGCACGGCCCUUACGUCCGGGGCGACACACGUGUUACAAUGGCAGGUACAGAGAGAAGCAAUGCGGCGACGCAAAGCGGAACUUGAAAGCCUGUCUCAGUUCGGAUUGGAGUCUGCAACUCGACUCCAUGAAGCUGGAUUCGCUAGUAAUCGCGCAUCAGCCAUGGCGCGGUGAAUACGUUCCCGG
RNAcentral lists this ribosomal RNA (460 nucleotides) under uncultured bacterium. RNAcentral's name for it is "bacterial SSU rRNA". It matches the Rfam family "Bacterial small subunit ribosomal RNA", at positions 916 to 1377 of the family's 1533-position model. The record is from RNAcentral.